This 468-nucleotide ribosomal RNA is filed under the name uncultured bacterium. RNAcentral's name for it is "partial 16S ribosomal RNA". It matches the Rfam family "Bacterial small subunit ribosomal RNA", at positions 28 to 507 of the family's 1533-position model. The record is from RNAcentral.
GACGAACGCUGGCGGCGUGCUUAACACAUGCAAGUCGAACGGGGCAGCCCCAGCUUGCUGGAGUGGAUCAGUUGCGAACGGGUGAGUAACCCGUGAGCAACCUGCCCCUGACUCUGGGAUAUGCGCUGGAAGCGGCGUCUACUCCUGGCUACGAGAAGGGUCCGCAUGGUGACUUUCUGGUAAGUUUUUCGGUUGGGGAUGGGCUGGCGGCCUAUCAGCUUGUUGGUGAGGUCGUGGCUCACCAAGGCAACGACCGGUAGCCGGCCUGGGAGGGCGACAGGCCACACUGGGACUGGAACGCGGCCCAGACUCCUACGGGACGCAGCGGAGGAGAAUAGUACACAAGGGGCGGAAGCCUGAUGCAGCGAAGCCGCGUGAGGGAUGACGGCCAGCGGGUUGUAAACCACAUUCAGCAGGGGAGAAGCGAAAGUGACGGUACCGGGAGAAGAAGCACCGGCUAACUACGUG